AGUGAACGCUGGCGGCGUGCUUAACACAUGCAAGUCGAACGAGGACGGAAUAUAGCUUACUAUAUUUGUCAGCUAAGUGGCGCACGGGUGAGUAAUGUAUAGAUAACCUGCCCUUAAGAAAGGAAUAACAGUUGGAAACGACUGCUAAUGCCCUAUAUGCCUUUAAUACAUAAGUAUGCAAGGGAAACGCUUUAGUGCUUAAGGAUGGGUCUGUAUGGUAUCAGCUUGUUGGUGAGGUAAUGGCUCACCAAGGCUAUGACGCCUAACUGGUUUGAGAGGAUGAUCAGUCACACUGGAACUGAGACACGGUCCAGACUCCUACGGGAGGCAGCAGUGGGGAAUAUUGCACAAUGGACGAAAGUCUGAUGCAGCAACGCCGCGUGGAGGAUGACACAUUUCGGUGCGUAAACUCCUUUUAUAUAGGAAGAUAAUGACGGUACUAUAUGAAUAAGCACCGGCUAACUCCGUGCCAGCCGCCGCAGUAA
This 485-nucleotide ribosomal RNA is filed under the name uncultured bacterium. Its description in RNAcentral is "partial 16S ribosomal RNA". It matches the Rfam family "Bacterial small subunit ribosomal RNA", at positions 29 to 523 of the family's 1533-position model. The record is from RNAcentral.